CACAGACAAUGGCAAAAUUACAAUAACCAAGGGAAGGGAAAAGAAAGCAAAGAACUCUCAUAAUAAGUUGUAGACUCGAGACACCAAUGGACUAAAGGCACUGCAGUGCAUACUCUUGACAUGAUAUUACUCACUUUCCAAUUCCAACUUCCUUUUCAAGAAACAAAUGUACUCGUUUGUCAGGAUAUCACUAAUGCAAUUUUACAAGGCCACAAGGUGUAUACUUAUAGCAUUAUUACUCAUUUUCCAAUUCCAAGUUCCUUCUGGAUAUCUCUUGUCAGACUGAAUUGUAAAGUGUUAUGCCAUGGGAACAAGGUGCGAGUAACCGGGAGUUUCCUCCGCAAAUCCUUGAAAGUGGUAUCAGGCAGAUUCGAGUAGGAUUCCUCAAGAGAUGCUAGGUACUCUGCUUCAUGGUGGCGUAUAGUGUUGGUUAUGGACAAUGCACAAUCAUCUGGGGCCUGAAACAUUGUUUCAUCUCUGCAUUCAUUUUUGGCGUCCAACUGAACAUUUCCUUCUUCAAAAUAAUGGGCAUCAACCUGUAUCUUGCCUCUUAUUGCCAGCAUUUGCAUAUCAUCCUCGAACUCAAUGUUCCAUACUGAGCGCCAGCUUCCAUUGCAGAAAUUCUUUGGGCUAUUUUUAACAGCAGAAAUCACCACAACAAGCUCAAAAUUAGAUCCUGGUCCCUCCACAUCUUUUCCGUUAACACAGUACACAGAACAGAUUCCCUUUGGAUAAGCUUCACCAACAUAUUUUAGUAUUUCGGCAUCUAGAGUACACCGAAAGUCCUCUAUAUAAGGCGAUGGAAGUUCCUCAUCAGCUGCAGGUCUCACCUCUGUACAAACUUGCUUAACAUGGUUAACUGUAGCCACUUGGGCAGUUCUAGGAUCAAG
This 890-nucleotide unclassified non-coding RNA is filed under the name Hevea brasiliensis (rubber tree). The record is from RNAcentral. Lineage: Eukaryota; Viridiplantae; Streptophyta; Magnoliopsida; Malpighiales; Euphorbiaceae.